Molecule: ribosomal RNA, 253 nt
Filed under: uncultured bacterium
Lineage: Bacteria
Description: partial 16S ribosomal RNA
Rfam family: Bacterial small subunit ribosomal RNA
Source: RNAcentral
UACGAAGGGGACUAGCGUUGUUCGGAAUCACUGGGCGUAAAGCGCACGUAGGCGGAUGUGUCAGUCAGGGGUGAAAUCCCGGGGCUCAACCUCGGAACUGCCUUUGAUACAGCACGUCUCGAGUCCGGAAGAGGUGGGUGGAAUUCCUAGUGUAGAGGUGAAAUUCGUAGAUAUCAGGAGGAACACCAGUGGCGAAGGCGGUGCUCUGGGCCGGAACUGACGCUGAGGAGCGAAAGCGUGGGGAGCAAACAGG